RNAcentral lists this small nucleolar RNA (176 nucleotides) under Chlamydomonas reinhardtii. RNAcentral's name for it is "CrACA32e snoRNA". Lineage: Eukaryota; Viridiplantae; Chlorophyta; Chlorophyceae; Chlamydomonadales; Chlamydomonadaceae. The record is from RNAcentral.
CGGCUCUUCCAUCCUCGGGCCUGUAAUUCCAUGUCGAGCCCGGGGCCAGCAGCACGCAGACAGCAAACAGGCCAGUCGGUCCGCUCGCAUGGGCUUCCGGGCACUUGCGGGGGCGAGUGAAAACUUGCCACGGAGGGUCGUGCAGGCGGCUUUCCGCGGCCGGCGGUCUUACACGU